Molecule: unclassified non-coding RNA, 291 nt
Filed under: uncultured fungus
Lineage: Eukaryota; Fungi
Description: sequence contains ITS1
Source: RNAcentral
GUAUAUUUAACUUUAUAGGUACAAAAAGGACCUGAUUCAACAUUCUAAACAGGUUUCAUAGGUUUGUGAAAAUGACAUCGACCUGAAAAAUACAAGGGAAAGCCGACUCUUUUUAAGCACAGCAGUCCCCCAACUCGAAAACAAUCGAUUCGAAGAACCCUUCAGGUCGACAAUGAGUGCACAGUUGGAGAAAUAAAGAUGACAGGCGUGCACAUGCGCCCCAAGGGACGCCAGCAGCAGCCCGUUCAAGUUUAUUCAAUAAUGAUCCUUCCGCAGGUUCACCUACGGAAA